AGGUAUGCACAGAAGAAAAGCCAUGUGAGGAUACAGGGAGAAGGUGACCAUCUGCAAGCCAAAGAGAGAGGCCUCGUAAGACAACCCUGUUGGCACCUUGACUCUUGAACUUCCAGACUUCAGAACUUGGAAGAAUUAGCAGGUCAUUGAUUUGAAAGCCUGGGUUCACAGAAGCAAAGCAGCUGGAUUGUUCCAGAGGGGAAGGAUCUCAGCAAUUGAAGAUGAAGCCUGGAGGUUGGAGUUUCCAGAGUUUUCUCAGACUCUUUCCACUCUUCAGCCCCGUCAUUUUUUGCAUGCUGGCUUUUUACUCCUGUGUUUGUUGUCUCCUGACAGACAUAGCUCCAUAUAUCAUGUGCUCACACCAGCGUUCCAAGUAAAAAGUAGGGUGCAGGGGCACAAGGUCCUUCCCUUCAGGGGCUCUGUCUUUUUAUCUGGGAAGCAAAAUCCUCUCCAGAAACUCCCCAGCAAAUUUCCCCUUGCCUCUCAUGGGCCGGAACUGGCUGCAUGACCAUACCUGGACACAGAGGAAGCUCGGAAGAUCUGUAUCAGUGACAAAGAUUCUUCCUUGACAAACUCCAGUCAGGCUACUUUGAACUCUAUUCUCAUCUGUGCCCUGACUUUUGGGCUUCUGUAUUCAUCUCUGCAUCGUUCAGUUUUAGCAAGACUCUGUUAGGUCGGUUUAGCCACAAUCCCGCCCUCACCCCUGAGGUUUCCAUUUAGUAAAUUUCCAUCCACUGACCCCCACCCUGCUCCUUGGCUAUA
Long non-coding RNA from Orcinus orca (killer whale), 762 nucleotides. RefSeq lists it as uncharacterized. NCBI's taxonomy places the organism in Eukaryota, Metazoa, Chordata, Mammalia, Artiodactyla, Delphinidae. The record is from RefSeq and is a predicted model, not a curated record. The transcript is spliced from 3 exons.